GAUGAACGCUGGCGGCGUGCUUAACACAUGCAAGUCGAACGGAAAGGCCACAGCUUGCUGUGGUACUCGAGCGGCGAACGGGUGAGUAACACGUGGGUGAUCUGCCCUGUACUUCGGGAUAAGCUUGGGAAACUGGGUCUAAUACCGGAUAGGAAUCACAUGUGGGUGUGUGGUUGGAAAGCUUUUGCGGUAUGGGAUGAGCUCGCGGCCUAUCAGCUUGUUGGUGGGGUAAUGGCCUACCAAGGCGUCGACGGGUAGCCGGCCUGAGAGGGUGUACGGCCACAUUGGGACUGAGAUACGGCCCAGACUCCUACGGGAGGCAGCAGUGGGGAAUAUUGCACAAUGGGCGCAAGCCUGAUGCAGCGACGCCGCGUGGGGGAUGACGGCCUUCGGGUUGUAAACUCCUUUCGUCAGGGACGAAGCGAAAGUGACGGUACCUGGAUAAGAAGCACCGGCUAACUACGUG
This 466-nucleotide ribosomal RNA is filed under the name uncultured bacterium. Its description in RNAcentral is "partial 16S ribosomal RNA". It matches the Rfam family "Bacterial small subunit ribosomal RNA", at positions 28 to 507 of the family's 1533-position model. The record is from RNAcentral.